AGCGAACGCUGGCGGCAGGCUUAACACAUGCAAGUCGAGCGGGCGUAGCAAUACGUCAGCGGCAGACGGGUGAGUAACACGUGGGAACGUACCUUUUGGUUCGGAACAACUGAGGGAAACUUCAGCUAAUACCGGAUAAGCCCUAACGGGGAAAGAUUUAUCGCCGAAAGAUCGGCCCGCGUAUGAUUAGCUAGUUGGUGAGGUAAUGGCUCACCAAGGCGACGAUCAGUAGCUGGUCUGAGAGGAUGAUCAGCCACACUGGGGCUGAGACACGGCCCAGACUCCUACGGGAGGCAGCAGUGGGGAAUAUUGGGCAAUGGGGGCAACCCUGAUCCAGCCAUGCCGCGUGAGUGAUGAAGGCCCUAGGGUUGUAAAGCUCUUUUGUGCGGGAAGAUAAUGACGGUACCGCAAGAAUAAGCCCCGGCUAACUUCGUGCCAGCCGCCGCCGUAA
RNAcentral lists this ribosomal RNA (451 nucleotides) under uncultured bacterium. Its description in RNAcentral is "partial 16S ribosomal RNA". It matches the Rfam family "Bacterial small subunit ribosomal RNA", at positions 29 to 523 of the family's 1533-position model. The record is from RNAcentral.